GUAGGUGGCAAGCGUUGUCCGGAUUUACUGGGCGUAAAGCGCGUGUAGGGCGGGUGCGCUAAGUCCGGUGUGAAAUCUCCCGGCCUAACUGGGAGGGGCCCAUCGGAUACUAACGCGCUAGAGGGGGGCAGAGGAAGGUGGAAUUCCAGGUGUAGCGGUGAAAUGCGUAGAUAUCGGGAGGAACACCAGUGGCGAAGGCGGCCUUCUGGGCCCACCCUGACGCUGAGGCGCGAAAGCGUGGGGAGCGAACCGGAUUAGAUACCCGGGUAGUCCACGCCCUAAACGUUGGACACUAGGUGUGGGGGGUGUCGACCCCCUCUGUGCCGUAGCUAACGCAUUAAGUGUCCCGCCUGGGGAGUACGGCCGCAAGGCUA
This 374-nucleotide ribosomal RNA is filed under the name uncultured organism. RNAcentral's name for it is "partial 16S ribosomal RNA". It matches the Rfam family "Bacterial small subunit ribosomal RNA", at positions 527 to 896 of the family's 1533-position model. The record is from RNAcentral.